Long non-coding RNA from Populus euphratica (Euphrates poplar), 266 nucleotides. RefSeq lists it as uncharacterized. The transcript has 2 exons. The record is from RefSeq and is a predicted model, not a curated record. NCBI's taxonomy places the organism in Eukaryota, Viridiplantae, Streptophyta, Magnoliopsida, Malpighiales, Salicaceae.
AGAAAAAAGAAAAGGUCAACUUAUCAUUUUAAUUGAAGUGAAGAACAUUUAUUAAAAUAUAAAAUAAACCCUUAACACAUAAACGGAAACCAAGCAAUAUUGGAGCAUUACAAUAUAAAAUAAAGCAAAUAUUAGUACGUACGGCAUGGUUCUGUGUAAUCGUUAAAGCAAUAGUUGUUCUUCACGGUGGCUUCAUCAAGGUUGCAGCGGUUCUCUUUGCCAUAAUCACAACAGAAAGAGAACCAUGAAAGCUCGAACCCAUAUAC